Non-coding RNA from Poecilia reticulata (guppy), 241 nucleotides. The record is from RefSeq and is a predicted model, not a curated record. NCBI's taxonomy places the organism in Eukaryota, Metazoa, Chordata, Actinopteri, Cyprinodontiformes, Poeciliidae.
CAAAGACACAACAUGAUUAAUUAAUGAUUAGAAAAACAGAGCAGAAGAAAAGUAGCGGUGGAGAGCUGUGUGCACGCCGACAUCCCGAAUAUGGUCCUUUAAGUCCAAUAUGGCCCUUCUCUCCUUUAGGCCCUCGAGGCCCUAUGACCCCACGUGGCCCAUCUGGUCCGGGCCGUCCGAUCUCACCCAUUGGCCCAGGACGACCCUGAGGAAAGGAAACAAAAAUAAACAGAUGCAAUGA